CACAUCAUGCACGUUGACAUUUCAUAACCAUUUUCUAAUCAUUUGUAAAUUUUGGUACAGCAAUUAGCACGUAUUCAAUAUCAAAAAAUGGUUCUUGGUGCCUUUUAUGACUUCUUUGGGCGCAACUUUUCGGAAUGUCGAUGCCGACCCGAACCGAAAGGAGAUCCACUUGAAUUUAACCCAGGGGCGGCUAUAAAUCUUGGAUAUACCUGGCUAAGCUUCUUUAAGAGAUUAACAGUGCCACCGUACGCCGCCGUCCCUACCCCGCCCUGCAAGCCACCAUGCAGACGCAAAUGCUGCAAAACUCGACGCAAUCCACAGCCAUGCAAUGUUCUAUGUAAAAGGAAACGCAAGAGGAACGCAAAGCAAAAGAGUUGUGGCAAUCCUUGCUGCAGUCACAAGCCAUCGAACCGUUAAUAUAAUCCACUGAGAACACAAAAUACGCCUACUCAAAUAAAUAGCACUGAUGGCAACGCAAUAAUCAAUGAAGUGGUAAAAACAAAAUUUUAUGUUGUCAUGACUAAUGAUAUUGAAUAAAUAAAUUAACGUCAAAUUCAUAAAAACGUGUCGAAGAAGGUCGUCAAAAAUAAUGUGACGUCGUUUUUAUAUUUCGUUCGUGUUUGUGCAAACGCACUUUUGUCAUACUUGUCUAGAAUUCGUGAAAAAAAAACGUUAGAAAACCGGGGCGGGCAAACAAAUCAAAUGCUUUAAUCAAUUUUGCAUAUUUUAACUGGGGAAUUAAAUUUGUGGGAUUGAAUCAGCCAAAAUUAAUUCAUAUUUUACUAGUUUAUAAAACGGAGUUAGAUUGAUUAAAAUUUUGUACGUUUUGAACUCAUUGGCAAUAUGUUUUCCUGGCUAUAUCGAUGGUGGUGGCGUAACGAUGAUGAGGAAGAUGAAGAAUGUGAAGAUGGCGACGAUGAAGUUAAUUUGGCUGCACGAUUAGGCAUUUUUUACAUUCAGUUGUUCCAGAAAUUAUUGAUACCUGCACAUGUGAGGGAAUCGAAAUAUGCCAACCAGAAUCCCUAUCAUCGCAUCUUCUAUAACCCGAAUAGCAAUCCGCCAACCAAACGCGGAUAAUUUGUCAAAUUAAAUAGCACUCACCCCAACGGCCGCGUAGAAGUAUAAAACUAUGUCCAUAAAAAUAAAAAUGUAACUGUUGAAAUGACACUGAAGAAUAAAAUUAAUCGACUUUCA
Dalotia coriaria is the source of this 1194-nucleotide long non-coding RNA. RefSeq lists it as uncharacterized. The transcript has 3 exons. The record is from RefSeq and is a predicted model, not a curated record. Lineage: Eukaryota; Metazoa; Arthropoda; Insecta; Coleoptera; Staphylinidae.